CAGUAGCCACGGGAAUACGUAGGUGGCAAGCGUUGUCCGGAUCUAUUGGGCGUAAAGCGAGCGCAGGCGGUCAAUUAAGUCUGAUGUGAAAGCCCCCGGCUCAACCGGGGAGGGUCAUUGGAAACUGGUUGACUUGAGUGCAGAAGAGGAGAGUGGAAUUCCAUGUGUAGCGGUGAAAUGCGUAGAUAUAUGGAGGAACACCAGUGGCGAAGGCGACUCUCUGGUCUGUAACUGACGCUGAGGCUCGAAAGCGUGGGUAGCAAACAGGAUUAGAUACCCCAGUAGUCCCUGUCUCUUAUAC
This 301-nucleotide ribosomal RNA is filed under the name uncultured bacterium. Its description in RNAcentral is "partial 16S ribosomal RNA". It matches the Rfam family "Bacterial small subunit ribosomal RNA", at positions 509 to 807 of the family's 1533-position model. The record is from RNAcentral.